Molecule: ribosomal RNA, 274 nt
Filed under: uncultured bacterium
Lineage: Bacteria
Description: partial 16S ribosomal RNA
Rfam family: Bacterial small subunit ribosomal RNA
Source: RNAcentral
AUACGGAGGGUGCAAGCGUUAAUCGGAAUUACUGGGCGUAAAGCGUACGUAGGCGGUUCGUUAAGUUAGAUGUGAAAGCCCCGGGCUUAACCUGGGAACUGCAUUUAAAACUGGCGAACUAGAGUUGAGUAGAGGGGAGUGGAAUUUCAGGUGUAGCGGUGAAAUGCGUAGAGAUCUGAAGGAACACCAGUGGCGAAGGCGACUCCCUGGACUCAAACUGACGCUGAGGUACGAAAGCGUGGGUAGCAAACGGGAUUAGAAACCCUUGUAGUCC